Molecule: long non-coding RNA, 342 nt
Organism: Clarias gariepinus (North African catfish)
Lineage: Eukaryota; Metazoa; Chordata; Actinopteri; Siluriformes; Clariidae
Exons: 3
Source: RefSeq, a predicted model, not a curated record
AGGCAUGAAUCAUUCAGUAAUGGAAUUUACAAUGACAUGCAGGAAUACGCCACAAUCCCAGAAAAAGGAGGGCUCAAUAAACCACUCAAUCCUUGUGUUGCUGAGGGCAUGGUGAUGUAUAAUCUUGAGGAAUCCUGAGGAAUAAACACUUAUUGGAGCAGCAUUGUAUGUUUCAUUUGCUGCUAUACUGCAUAUUCAGGAAUUAAUACCAAAAUACCUAUGCUUAUUUCAUUUACUUUAGCAUGCUUAAAUAAAUCCUGCCAUGCACUGUGAAUCUUUAGUUACAUUAGUUAAUACCAUUAGUAAAUCUGGACUUAUAGCUUGACAAUAUACUAAAGAUGC